GAGCCGCUAGCUCAUCGGGUAGAGCAUCUGCCUUUUAAGCAGAAUGUGCUGGGUUCGAGUCCCAGGCGGCUCA
Molecule: transfer RNA, 73 nt
Filed under: Candidatus Latescibacterota bacterium
Lineage: Bacteria; Pseudomonadati; Candidatus Latescibacterota
Also listed under: 1 other name
Description: tRNA-Lys
Rfam family: tRNA
About the family: Transfer RNA (tRNA) molecules are approximately 80 nucleotides in length. Their secondary structure includes four short double-helical elements and three loops (D, anti-codon, and T loops).
Source: RNAcentral